AUGCUUUGCAAAGUAGGCAUUAAGAAUAUGAAAGAGAACUUGCAAUUCCAUUUGUCAAUGUGCAGUGUCAAGGAACACAUUUACAUUUUGCAGGUAGCUGCGACAUCAACGGAUGGAGGGUACACCUGCUGUAGCGGACUUCGUCGUCUCAUCGACAAGCUCACCUGUGACAGUACACCAGCUGCAGCUCUGGGAGGGACGGUGUGCAUCGGAUGGGACCCGGCACGGCGCGCGGCCGAUGAGGAAGAGAUGAGGAAGAGGACCAGCGGAGGGGGCUUGACAAGGUGUCGCUGGCUGCCUUGCCGGUGUCCAGAUUCAGGGCAGAGUGCGUGGCGGCACCAAGAAGGUUGGGGAAGAUUGCGCGAUAUACCUGUGCACCAUGCAGGAUGGAUCCGGCAUGGCGGCCGGGCCGACAAGGAAGAGGACCAGUGGAGGGGUGCUCGACAAGGCGGCGCUAGCACCAAUGCCGGUGCUCAUAUUCAAGGCAGGGGCAAGGCGGAGGCGCGCGAUGGCGCAAAGGUUGGUAGCUGCUGCAUACGUGUUGCUUUAUGA
This 552-nucleotide ribosomal RNA is filed under the name Triticum aestivum (bread wheat). RNAcentral describes it as "partial small subunit ribosomal RNA". Lineage: Eukaryota; Viridiplantae; Streptophyta; Magnoliopsida; Poales; Poaceae. The record is from RNAcentral.